CAUCUGGCUCGGGCCACUCUGACACCUUUAGUUUCGGCAAGGGAUAUUGGGGUGGCGAAGGGGAGGCGGGGGCCCGAAGGCUUCGGAAAACGAUGGGGGAGGGGGCAGAGGAUACCCGUCGAAGCCCCCCCCUCCCCCAACAUUUCGAUAUUGGAAUCACUUUCCUUCUUCCUCGGGCCAGCCUUUGCUCUGUCCCCUCAGGUCAACUCAAGGUAGACAGUGUGGCGACUGGAGAGGUCGGGGAACAAGCUUUGUUUCAGCUAAGGGGAAAACAAGCGUUCACAGGAGUCCCCUGACACCUCCCACUCGGAAGAUAGCUAACGGGGGUCCUGCCAACCCUUCCCAUCCAACUUCCAUCUGAAAAGGAUUUUCUGCUAAAGUUGGGUCCAUGGCCAUCCAGCACCUGUAAGGCCGGCAGGAGCGUCUGCCCUCUACUCAGUUAAAGCCUGAAGUCGUUUCCUUUCGAUGGCCCUUAGGAGGCCCAAAAGAGGGGCGACAGAACAUGAUGUUGACACGGGCUGGGCGCCCCCAGAAGCCCGGGAACAAACGUUUCUACUUUCCAGGUCCACUGGUGUUUGGUGUACCCAUGUGACUAAUUUGUCCAAAGAGAGAUUUCUGUGAAUAGACCAGAAGCCGACCUUUACAGUGUGUUUGGGUGCAGAAAACCUUGGCUGACAUACUCAAGGCUGAAAUGCAGUCAGCGGAAAUGGAAACACUUCAACUCUGCCCCUGUGGCAAGAAUGGCUUCCCUUCAGACAAUCUGGCCAGAUUCUUUAUGGACCCAAUGGGAGGCUGUACAGGAAACAUGGCUGGGGAGGCCUCAGGAAACUUUCAAUCAUAAUGGAAGGGGAAGCAAACACAUAUAUGGCCGGAGCAGGAGGAAGAGAGCAAAGAGGGAAGCGUCAGACACUUUUAAAGAACCAGAUCUCAUGAGAACUCACUCCCUAUCAUGAGAACAGCAAGGGGGAAGUCUGCCUCCGUGAUCCAAUCACCGCCCACCAGGCCUUUCCUCCAACACUGGGGAUGACAUCAGAUGAGGGUGAGGACACAAAUCCAAACCAUAUCAGGGAUUAAAUCUUCCAGUAUGAUAUAUGAUAUCAGACACAUCAGACACAUUUCAAAAAGAAGAAUGAAUAAAUAUGAAUGAGAAAUUUGAUAUAGACUCUAGGUUGCAUAAAAAGGGGUCAGAUAACUUUUACAAGGAUAGCUCUAUAUAGGUCUACCUCCAAGAAAAUGAAUGCAUACUAAUGCUCGAUCCUAGUAUUUGUGUUUUGUUUCAUUUUAAGGGUCCCUACAUGUUUUACAGAUACUCACCUUUUAUUUUCUGUUUUCUAUGCAAUCUAUAAUUUAUUGCAUUCUAAAUAUUUUUUCAUUUCUAUUUUCUUAUCUUUAAAAUAAACUUCUUUCUUUCCUUGGGGAUAAGCCACUAGCUAUUAAGGGAACAUUCUUGAUUUAUUAUAGAUAGGUUGAAUAAAGUUUUCAUAAAGUAUCUUAUUCACGUAAUAGAAUUUACCAAUAUGAAAGUCUUUUGACUAUAACUCUAGCACUUUCUCAUUAACCUAUGCCUUCAGUACAGCAAAGGAUAUGCAUUUGUUUGAGGAUUUGUGUUUUAGAUGCAGACUGAUUAAAUAGAGAUACAGUUUGUUAAUGAAAUAAUGUAUAUAGACACCAUGCCCAGCACUUGUUGGACAUUAUAUCAUUAGUCCUUAUAAUAAGCUGCAGAGCCAAAUAUGAUAUCCAAACUCUUCUCUCCAUUUGCAGAGGACUAAACUGAGACUCUAAUUCAAAGAUGUAAAGUAAAAUUCCCAAGAUUACGAAGCUAAUGAGUGACAAACUGACAUUAUAAUUUCAAAGUAAUUCCACUCUUAGUUACAUUACAUUGCCUCCCUCUCAGUUUUUAUCAUCAAGAUAAAUGUUUGUUUCAUAAGUAGAGUCUAUGUUUAUGUUUUAUGUUGACAUUUUCUUACUCUGCAUAUAGUAAUAAGAGUAUUAGUGGGAAACAGAGAGAAGAAAUGUUUUUUAAUUUCUCGAGUUGGAACAUGUUGUUUACUUAGGCCUUUGGUCAAACCAUAGUUUAUCAUCUGUAUUAGUAUGUUCUCAUGCUGCUAUAAGGACAUACCUGAGACUAGGUAAUUUAUAAAGAAAAGAGGUUUAAGUGACUCCCAGUUCCAUAGCGCUGGAGAGGGCUCAGGAAACUUAUAAUCAUGGCAAAAGGGGAAGCAAACAUGUCCUUCUUCACAUGGUGGGAGGAAGGAGAAGAAUGAGAGCCAAGUGAAGGGGGAAGCCCCUUAUAAAACCAUCAGAUCAUGUGAGAACUUACUCACUAUUACAAGAGUAGCAUGGGGGAAACCGCCCCCAUGAUUCAGUUACUUCCCACUGGGUUCCUCCCACAACAUGUGGGGAUUAUGGGAACUACAAUUUGAGAUGAGAUUUGGGUGCGGACACAGCCAAACCAUAUCAUCUUCUUUUCUUAUUUUAUUAAAAAUGUCCUUUCUGUAGCAUUCUGAGCUUUGAGUCUGUAUCUUGUUAUUACAGAGAGUAGCUAAAUGAAUAAUUAUUAGCACCCUUUUAAUAAUGUACUCCUAUGUAAUUGAAGAAAAAUUAUUGUAUAAAGCUAAUAUAUAUUAA
Homo sapiens (human) is the source of this 2628-nucleotide long non-coding RNA. Ensembl annotates it as ARRDC3 antisense RNA 1. Its record names the gene ARRDC3-AS1. NCBI's taxonomy places the organism in Eukaryota, Metazoa, Chordata, Mammalia, Primates, Hominidae. The record is from Ensembl.